This 84-nucleotide transfer RNA is filed under the name Meiothermus sp. QL-1. It matches the Rfam family "tRNA". Rfam says of the family: Transfer RNA (tRNA) molecules are approximately 80 nucleotides in length. Their secondary structure includes four short double-helical elements and three loops (D, anti-codon, and T loops). The record is from Rfam by way of RNAcentral. Lineage: Bacteria; Thermotogati; Deinococcota; Deinococci; Thermales; Thermaceae.
GCCGGGAUGGUGGAACUGGUAGACACACUAUCUUGAGGGGGUAGCGAGCGCAAGCUCAUGCGGGUUCAAGUCCCGCUCCCGGCA